Molecule: transfer-messenger RNA, 341 nt
Filed under: Fibrobacterales bacterium
Lineage: Bacteria; Pseudomonadati; Fibrobacterota; Fibrobacteria; Fibrobacterales
Rfam family: transfer-messenger RNA
About the family: Bacterial tmRNA, also known as 10Sa RNA or SsrA, is named for its dual tRNA and mRNA-like properties. Its role is to liberate the mRNA from a stalled ribosome.
Source: RNAcentral
GGGGGUGCUUUGGUUUCGACAGGAUUCCGAAAGUGCAAGUUGUAUGCCGAGAAUGGGACUCUCUCGUAAAAGUGUUUCGCAAAAGUAACCGACAACGAUUACGCUCUCGCUGCUUAAGCAGUGCCAAGCCCCGACCCGCUCCUGUAGGGAAAGGUGCUUGGACGCAAAUCAGGAUAGAGUUUCGCAACGCCUAAAAGCGAAACUUGAAAAUUUCGGGCUGGUUCUCAGGUGCGCCGACCUUUAGGGCGUUCUUGAGAGCGAGAUAUUAAAUUCAAAGGGAAAGCAUAUAUGAGCGACCGCCGCCGAGAUUUUGGACAGGGGUUCAACUCCCCUCACCUCCA